UUCAAUUCUUUUUUUAUUACUUGUGUUUAUGCUAUACCAAACGCAGCCUAAGUCCAACUGAGCCUAGGGUUCACUAUUUGUAUUCGCAAAAGCCCACAAUAGUCCAGAUUGUUCCAUUUCUCUCAUAUUGGCCGCAGCCUCCAGGGGACGACUAGGGUUUUGAAAGGAAAGCGAACGAAGAACCUCGCAACUUUAUCACCAUGAGAGCUAAGUGGAAGAAGAAGAGAAUGAGGAGGCUGAAGAGAAAGCGCCGAAAGAUGAGGCAGAGAUCCAAGUAAUUUUCAGAGAAAAUAAAUCGUCCAUCAGACGGUCUUAGUUAAAUCUCAGGCUUUCUUGCUAUCUGUUGGUACAUUUUCUUAGUUUGAACAUCUUAUUUUGCUUGGAAAUGUGAUUUUUUUUUCUUCCGUAUCUGUAGUUCUUGUUAACUUUGGUAAUUGCAAUGCGAGCUUUGAUGAAUAUGUCAAUCUAUUGUGAUCUUGCCGCUA
Cornus florida is the source of this 485-nucleotide long non-coding RNA. RefSeq lists it as uncharacterized. The transcript is spliced from 2 exons. The record is from RefSeq and is a predicted model, not a curated record. Lineage: Eukaryota; Viridiplantae; Streptophyta; Magnoliopsida; Cornales; Cornaceae.